AUGCACGAGAAAAACAACAAAACCCUGAUGCCCCCAAUAUGGAAGUUUACAAUAAAGACCGUGAGAGCACGGUGGUUGCCCGCGCCGCGUCCUGACGCCCUCCUCCACCGCCAACCUGCAGGUCCUGGAGAAGGAGCGCGCGGCCCGGCGGCAGCGGUGGCGGCUGCGGCGGCUGCGGGAGCGGCUGCGGCGCCAGGACGAGGCGCUGGGGCGGCAGGCGGAGGCCCUGGAGCGCUGCCGGCGGACGCAGCGGCGCCAGCUGGGCCUGGUGCGCGAGCAGGAGCGCGGCCUGCGGGAGCAGGUGCGGCGGCUGGAGCGGGACGUGCGGCGCCUGUGCGGGGCGGCUGGCCUCCUGCUGGCCGAGCUGGACGCCCCGGCCCCGGGCAGCCCCUGCCCUCCCGGCCCGGCCGGAGCCCGGGGCGUCUCCGGGGAGGCCGCGGAGCUGCGCGCCCUGCAGGCCGAGCGGGAGCGGGAGCGGGAGCGGGAGCGGGAGCGGGAGCGGGAGCGGGCCGAGGCGGCGCGCAGGCUGCGGGGGCAGCGCGACACCGAGCGCCGGCUCCGCGGGCAGCUGGAGGACCUGCGCUGCUGCAUCUACGAGCUCAAGCUGUCGGAGAUCGGCCUGCAGGCCCAGGUGGAGGACCUCGCCCAGCAAAACCAGAGCCUUCGCCAGGCGCUGGGGGCCCGGGCCCCGGGGGAGAGCGCGCGCAGCCCCGCCGCUGCUGGUCACUGCAGCCCGGUCACUCUGAGCCGAAUCCAGGAUGAACCACUGUCCCUGCCCAGGGAGGACGCACCGGAUGCUCCCAAAAGGCAAGAGCCGCAGGCCACCCUCGGCUCCACCAGUGCCCCUGGACCGAGAGGCUCAGCAGGUAUGUGGGGUGCCUGUAGGGUCGCCCACUGAUGGGCCAGCUCCCCUAGGAUGUGCCAGUGUGUCCGGGGGUGGGGGGUCUACAGACAGGAAGCUGAAGCUCAGAGAGGUAGUGUCGCUUGCUUGAUGUCACACAGCCAGAAGAGGUGGGAUUAGAGUCUGCGAUGUCCAGGACAACAUCCUUGACUUGGGCUCAACCAGACAUUUAGGCUCAUUCCUUCAGCCUUCAGGAGGGGGCCGGCUAGGCGACGCUGGUGCCAGCACCGGGCAGCAGGGGUCUCAGGAGGAGGAGUCUUUGCAGAAGACCAUGGAAUGACUAUCCUAUCGCCAGCCGACCACUCGACAGCUCAGAUGUGAGAUAGGUGCAAGGUCUGGGAGCUGCUGGGCUAAGGAGCCCCUUGUCCCUAACUUGUCCCUAAUGGGGACCAAUGUCUCUGAUCACAGUCUCAGACUGGGCUUCUAAAUGCCCUGCUGCAAAGCCACUGCACUUGGGGAGCCUCAAAGCCACCAUGUCCCACUGUGGUUAUUUGCAGUCUUCCAGGCCAGAUGGGGUUACAGAUGAGGGGGUUAUUUAUACCCAGGGGUGCCACUGACCUGCACAGCUGCCGUCCCUUUCUAUCCUAUUUCUGGGGAGCAGAGCUGGCAAAUCAAUGGUCAAAUUUGUCCUCAGAGAAGAAGGAGGGGCCUGUCUGGUAGUGAAGCCGAGGCCGGCUCCUUUAUCUGCACGCCAGCCUUGUGGGGUUGGGAGCAGGGGAUUAUGACCCUGUGUGACCAUGAGGGUGCCCGGGUUGAUGGAAGUAUGAUGGGUUUUGUCACCUGCAUGAGCUUCAUGGUCAACCAACGUGGCUUCCAGGCCCAAUCUGCUGCUUGUCAGCAGACAGUCAUUCCCAUCUCCAAGCCUUGGUUUCCUUCCCUGGCAGU
Molecule: long non-coding RNA, 1786 nt
Filed under: Canis lupus familiaris (dog)
Lineage: Eukaryota; Metazoa; Chordata; Mammalia; Carnivora; Canidae
Description: lncRNA (ENSCAFG00040016608.1)
Source: RNAcentral